Molecule: long non-coding RNA, 1948 nt
Organism: Apis laboriosa (Himalayan honeybee)
Lineage: Eukaryota; Metazoa; Arthropoda; Insecta; Hymenoptera; Apidae
Exons: 3
Source: RefSeq, a predicted model, not a curated record
CUCGUUUUUGCGAACGGUUGGAAGACACGCGGAAUGGACGUUUGUCGAUAUCGUUUACACGAACGACACGUACGUAUAAGUUACGAUGAUGUGAGGCAGAUCCAUUAGACUAUGCAAUUGUCCACGUAUUGCAUUGUCAGCCACCAUAGAGAUUUCUAUUCAGAAAUCGCGGAAGUCCCCGGAUGCAUUGACGAGAGGUAGAGGAUGAUCGAGGACCGCUCUUGUUGCGAGAAGGAAAGAGACACGAGAGAGACGGAAUAUCAUGAUCGACCAGGAUACUGGUUACUCGUAUUUCCCUUUUUUCCCCUAAUUGUCAUGCGUGAUAUUCGUUUCUACAGAAGUCAAGAAUCUUUUCUACUGUGUGUGCAUAUAUUAGAAAUUGUCAGAAAUUUUAUUUUAAUUGACAUUACGUACGUAUAUAUAAAUAAAUUUAUAUAAUUAAAAUGUUUUAAUUUCAAAUAGAUAACAUUCGUAUAUCAUUAAUAACAUAACCUAAAAUUAUCGACAUGAUUAAUUUAUUAUUAUAUAUUCUUAUUUAGAUUACUAUAAAACUAAUUCGAUUUCUUAGAAAAACCAUCUCUUUCAUUCAUCAAUUUUUCUACAUUGAUGAAAUCGUAACAAGAUUCUUCGAAUAAUCGAACAAAAGCUUUCAGUCCCCUAAUUAACCCAGUUCAAAGAUCCCGUGUCGGUGAAAUGAAUCUUUGUUACGCCCCGAUUCGCUUCUGUAGAAACACACGCACGCCGCUUGAUCGAGGGUGAACACGGGUUUGAAUAAAAAGCUUUUUACAUGACCAGGAGAAAUAAAAGAGCGCGCGCGAGAGGAAAGGAAGAAAAAUCUCGGAUUUCCCGUUCUGCUACGCGCCCUUGUCUUUUGCCCUCUCGAGUUUCCUGGAUCGUUCUUACCACGCCCAGCAAUUUGCCUUGUGCUACAACUUUGCGAUCGAUUAUUCCUCGAUUAUGGUGUAACGAGAUAUCCAAUCGUAAUAUCUAUGGUACACACGGCCAUUAUUCGAUUGGAAAACCAAUAUUUUCUUACGUUUUGUUAAUAUCCCGAUUUCCAUGUACCUGUGGGUCUAUCGUGAAACAAUUAUAUCCUCCCUACAUCAUUUCAAGUUACACAAUGUAUGAGUAUUGUAUGAUUACAACCAAUGAUUGACAAGGAAAGGAUACGAAGGAUUGAAACGCACAAAAGCUUAAGGAGGAUUUAAAAAAAUAGAUUUUAUUGGGAUAUUUUAAAAAAAUUUGGAGGUUAUGUCACAUGAUUUUUCUCUAUCCGGGAUCCAUGAAUUUUCUAUCUAACUGGAACAUUUAUACGAAGCAUCGGUGGUUUUAUUUAAAUACCCGAGAAGAAUUCAGUGGCCAAAAAAUCGGCGAACCGUAAAGAAAGAUUCACGGAUAAAAAGGGGAUCCGUUUGAUCGCGGACCAGCGCUUGAAGCGUGGUGAAAAACCAGUCCCGACCGUAUCACUCCGUUUCUUUGGUCAGGAUCGGGCCAAACAAUUAAACUCGAAUGAGAAAAUCUCUUUUGAUGACGAUGCACCGCGAUGAACGCACGACGGACAUAUUAGUAUAAUAAGCGACGAUCUGUGUACGCAUAUAUAGAUUAUGGCAACAAAGAGGAUGAAUGAAAGAAACGACAGAGAUAGCAGUAGCAAUGAUGAAAAGAAUUAGAUAAUGGGAAGGUGGGGAAAUGCACAAUUUUAAUGUGUACCCAGGUGGUAGUGAACAGAACGCAACAGAAUGCAACUCCACGGUAAAUUAUUUCAUAUCUCCUGGCCUAUUGCAUAUCUUUAUGAUCUAAAAACUUCAAACUGAGUGAUUAAUCUGAAAAGAAUUUUCUAGAUUAUUUCUUGUGAUCAUCCCGAUAGGUAUUUGAUUGCUUUUUACCAUGUAAUAGAUAGAUAUAAUAGAUAUAAGCGAUAGAUGAAGUUAAAUAUGAAUUUUUUAUA